RNAcentral lists this ribosomal RNA (1258 nucleotides) under metagenome. Its description in RNAcentral is "bacterial LSU rRNA". It matches the Rfam family "Bacterial large subunit ribosomal RNA", at positions 1635 to 2884 of the family's 2925-position model. The record is from RNAcentral.
GAUACGACCGUACCGCAAACCGACACUGGUGCGCGAGAUGAGUAUUCUAAGGCGCUUGAGAGAACUCAGGAGAAGGAACUCGGCAAAUUGACACCGUAACUUCGGAAGAAGGUGUGCCCUAUUAGUGUGUAGUGAACAACGAAGCAUGAAUGGGUUGCAAAAAAUCGGUGGCUGCGACUGUUUAUUAAAAACACAGCACUCUGCAAACACGAAAGUGGACGUAUAGGGUGUGACGCCUGCCCGGUGCUGGAAGAUUAAAUGAUGGGGUGCAAGCUCUUGAUUGAAGUCCCAGUAAACGGCGGCCGUAACAAUAACGGUCCUAAGGUAGCGAAAUUCCUUGUCGGGUAAGUUCCGACCUGCACGAAUGGCGUAACGAUGGCCUCACUGUCUCCUCCUGAGACUCAGCGAAGUUGAAAUGUUUGUGAUGAUGCAAUCUCCCCGCGGAAAGACGGAAAGACCCCAUGAACCUUUACUGUAGCUUUGUAUUGGACUUUGAACAGAUCUGUGUAGGAUAGGUGGGAGGCUUUGAAGCAGGGUCGCUAGAUCUUGUGGAGCCAACGUUGAAAUACCACCCUGGUGUGUUUGAGGUUCUAACCUAGGUCCAUUAUCUGGAUCGGGGACAGUGCAUGGUAGGCAGUUUGACUGGGGCGGUCUCCUCCCAAAGCGUAACGGAGGAGUUCGAAGGUACGCUAGUUACGGUCGGACAUCGUGACGAUAGUGCAAUGGCAUAAGCGUGCUUAACUGCGAGACUGACAAGUCGAGCAGAUGCGAAAGCAGGACAUAGUGAUCCGGUGGUUCUGUAUGGAAGGGCCAUCGCUCAACGGAUAAAAGGUACUCUGGGGAUAACAGGCUGAUACCGCCCAAGAGUUCAUAUCGACGGCGGUGUUUGGCACCUCGAUGUCGGCUCAUCUCAUCCUGGGGCUGUAGCCGGUCCCAAGGGUAUGGCUGUUCGCCAUUUAAAGAGGUACGUGAGCUGGGUUUAAAACGUCGUGAGACAGUUUGGUCCCUAUCUUCCGUGGGCGCUGCGGAUUUGAGGAAGCCUGCUCCUAGUACGAGAGGACCGGAGUGGACACACCUCUGGUGUAUCGGUUGUCACGCCAGUGGCAUUGCCGAGUAGCUAAGUGUGGAAGAGAUAACCGCUGAAAGCAUCUAAGCGGGAAACUCGUUUCAAGAUGAGAUCUGCCGGGGCCUUGAGCCCCCUAAAGAGUCGUUCAAGACCAGGACGUUGAUAGGUCAGGUGUGGAAGCGAAAAAAAAAC